Molecule: ribosomal RNA, 396 nt
Filed under: uncultured bacterium
Lineage: Bacteria
Description: partial 16S ribosomal RNA
Rfam family: Bacterial small subunit ribosomal RNA
Source: RNAcentral
AUACGUAGGGGGCGAGCGUUGUCCGGAAUGAUUGGGCGUAAAGGGCGCGUAGGCGGCCCGGUAAGUCUGGAGUGAAAGUCCUGUUUUUAAGAUGGGAAUUGCUUUGGAUACUGUCGGGCUUGAGUGCAGGAGAGGUAAGUGGAAUUCCCAGUGUAGCGGUGAAAUGCGUAGAGAUUGGGAGGAACACCAGUGGCGAAGCGACUUACUGGACUGUAACUGACGCUGAGGCGCGAAAGUGUGGGGAGCAAACAGGAUUAGAUACCCUGGUAGUCCACACUGUAAACGAUGAAUGCUAGGUGUAGGGGGUAUCGACCCCUUCUGUGCCGCAGUCAACACAAUAAGCAUUCCGCCUGGGGAGUACGGCCGCAAGGUUGAAACUCAAAUGAAUUGACGGGG